Molecule: non-coding RNA, 320 nt
Organism: Neolamprologus brichardi
Lineage: Eukaryota; Metazoa; Chordata; Actinopteri; Cichliformes; Cichlidae
Source: RefSeq, a predicted model, not a curated record
CAAAACAAAAAAAGGGGAACACAUAAAUCUCAACACAAUAUUAGCUUCAUGCUUGACUGACAGCAUUGAUGAAAAAUUCAGAAAGACCUUCCCAAAUGAUGUUAAAGGCGGAUCUUUCAAUGGAGUCAUCAGUAGAUUUUCACUUGACACAAAAUCGCUGAUUCAAAAAUACCAAGAUGUCAAACUGCAGCUGAUAUUUCUCCAGACAGAGGAGGAUAAAAUUAAGGCAAAACUCAACAAAAUAAUCCUAAAGGGGAAGAAAAUCAUCUACAACAGUCUAACAGAGACAAUUGAGAAAAACAUGAAAAAGUGCUAUGAAG